UGCGCUAUCAGAUGAGCCUAGGUCGGAUUAGCUAGUUGGUGAGGUAAUGGCUCACCAAGGCGACGAUCCGUAACUGGUCUGAGAGGAUGAUCAGUCACACUGGAACUGAGACACGGUCCAGACUCCUACGGGAGGCAGCAGUGGGGAAUAUUGGACAAUGGGCGAAAGCCUGAUCCAGCCAUGCCGCGUGUGUGAAGAAGGUCUUCGGAUUGUAAAGCACUUUAAGUUGGGAGGAAGGGCAGUAAGCUAAUACCUUGCUGUUUUGACGUUACCGACAGAAUAAGCACCGGCUAACUUCGUGCCAGCAGCCGCGGUAAUACGAAGGGUGCAAGCGUUAAUCGGAAUUACUGGGCGUAAAGCGCGCGUAGGUGGUUCGUUAAGUUGGAUGUGAAAGCCCCGGGCUCAACCUGGGAACUGCAUCCAAAACUGGCGAGCUAGAGUACGGUAGAGGGUGGUGGAAUUUCCUGUGUAGCGGUGAAAUGCGUAGAUAUAGGAAGGAACACCAGUGGCGAAGGCGACCACCUGGACUGAUACUGACACUGAGGUGCGAAAGCGUGGGGAGCAAACAGGAUUAGAUACCUGGUAGUCCACGCCGUAAACGAUGUCAACU
This 610-nucleotide ribosomal RNA is filed under the name uncultured Pseudomonas sp. Its description in RNAcentral is "bacterial SSU rRNA". It matches the Rfam family "Bacterial small subunit ribosomal RNA", at positions 214 to 817 of the family's 1533-position model. The record is from RNAcentral. Lineage: Bacteria; Pseudomonadati; Pseudomonadota; Gammaproteobacteria; Pseudomonadales; Pseudomonadaceae.